This 1504-nucleotide ribosomal RNA is filed under the name bacterium ID4388. RNAcentral describes it as "16S ribosomal RNA". It matches the Rfam family "Bacterial small subunit ribosomal RNA". The record is from RNAcentral.
GAUGAACGCUGGCGGCGUGCCUAAUACAUGCAAGUCGAGCGAACGGACGAGAAGCUUGCUUCUCUGAUGUUAGCGGCGGACGGGUGAGUAACACGUGGAUAACCUACCUAUAAGACUGGGAUAACUUCGGGAAACCGGAGCUAAUACCGGAUAAUAUUUUGAACCGCAUGGUUCAAAAGUGAAAGACGGUCUUGCUGUCACUUAUAGAUGGAUCCGCGCUGCAUUAGCUAGUUGGUAAGGUAACGGCUUACCAAGGCAACGAUGCAUAGCCGACCUGAGAGGGUGAUCGGCCACACUGGAACUGAGACACGGUCCAGACUCCUACGGGAGGCAGCAGUAGGGAAUCUUCCGCAAUGGGCGAAAGCCUGACGGAGCAACGCCGCGUGAGUGAUGAAGGUCUUCGGAUCGUAAAACUCUGUUAUUAGGGAAGAACAUAUGUGUAAGUAACUGUGCACAUCUUGACGGUACCUAAUCAGAAAGCCACGGCUAACUACGUGCCAGCAGCCGCGGUAAUACGUAGGUGGCAAGCGUUAUCCGGAAUUAUUGGGCGUAAAGCGCGCGUAGGCGGUUUUUUAAGUCUGAUGUGAAAGCCCACGGCUCAACCGUGGAGGGUCAUUGGAAACUGGAAAACUUGAGUGCAGAAGAGGAAAGUGGAAUUCCAUGUGUAGCGGUGAAAUGCGCAGAGAUAUGGAGGAACACCAGUGGCGAAGGCGACUUUCUGGUCUGUAACUGACGCUGAUGUGCGAAAGCGUGGGGAUCAAACAGGAUUAGAUACCCUGGUAGUCCACGCCGUAAACGAUGAGUGCUAAGUGUUAGGGGGUUUCCGCCCCUUAGUGCUGCAGCUAACGCAUUAAGCACUCCGCCUGGGGAGUACGACCGCAAGGUUGAAACUCAAAGGAAUUGACGGGGACCCGCACAAGCGGUGGAGCAUGUGGUUUAAUUCGAAGCAACGCGAAGAACCUUACCAAAUCUUGACAUCCUUUGACAACUCUAGAGAUAGAGCUUUCCCCUUCGGGGGACAAAGUGACAGGUGGUGCAUGGUUGUCGUCAGCUCGUGUCGUGAGAUGUUGGGUUAAGUCCCGCAACGAGCGCAACCCUUAAGCUUAGUUGCCAUCAUUAAGUUGGGCACUCUAAGUUGACUGCCGGUGACAAACCGGAGGAAGGUGGGGAUGACGUCAAAUCAUCAUGCCCCUUAUGAUUUGGGCUACACACGUGCUACAAUGGACAAUACAAAGGGCAGCGAAACCGCGAGGUCAAGCAAAUCCCAUAAAGUUGUUCUCAGUUCGGAUUGUAGUCUGCAACUCGACUACAUGAAGCUGGAAUCGCUAGUAAUCGUAGAUCAGCAUGCUACGGUGAAUACGUUCCCGGGUCUUGUACACACCGCCCGUCACACCACGAGAGUUUGUAACACCCGAAGCCGGUGGAGUAACCUUUUAGGAGCUAGCCGUCGAAGGUGGGACAAAUGAUUGGGGUGAAGUCGUAACAAGGUAGCCGUAUCGGAAGG